GGGCGUAAAGGGCUCGCAGGCGGUUUCUUAAGUCUGAUGUGAAAGCCCCCGGCUCAACCGGGGAGGGUCAUUGGAAACUGGGAAACUUGAGUGCAGAAGAGGAGAGUGGAAUUCCACGUGUAGCGGUGAAAUGCGUAGAGAUGUGGAGGAACACCAGUGGCGAAGGCGACUCUCUGGUCUGUAACUGACGCUGAGGAGCGAAAGCGUGGGGAGCGAACAGGAUUAGAUACCCCCGUAGUC
This 240-nucleotide ribosomal RNA is filed under the name Bacillus sp. (in: firmicutes). RNAcentral's name for it is "Bacillus sp. (in: Bacteria) partial 16S ribosomal RNA". It matches the Rfam family "Bacterial small subunit ribosomal RNA", at positions 556 to 795 of the family's 1533-position model. The record is from RNAcentral. Lineage: Bacteria; Bacillati; Bacillota; Bacilli; Caryophanales; Bacillaceae.